GACGAACGCUGGCGGCGUGCCUAAUACAUGCAAGUAGAACGCUGAAGGAGGAGCUUGCUUCUCCGGAUGAGUUGCGAACGGGUGAGUAACGCGUAGGUAACCUGCCUGGUAGCGGGGGAUAACUAUUGGAAACGAUAGCUAAUACCGCAUAAGAGUAGAUGUCGCAUGACAUUUGCUUAAAAGGUGCAACUGCACCACUACCAGAUGGACCUGCGUUGUAUUAGCUAGUUGGUGAGGUAACGGCUCACCAAGGCAACGAUACAUAGCCGACCUGAGAGGGGGCUCGGCCACACUGGGACUGAGACACGGCCCAGACUCCUACGGGAGGCAGCAGUAGGGAAUCUUCGGCAAUGGACGGAAGUCUGACCGAGCAACGCCGCGUGAGUGAAGAAGGUUUUCGGAUCGUAAAGCUCUGUUGUAAGAGAAGAACGAGUGUGAGAGUGGAAAGUUCACACUGUGACGGUAUCUUACCAGAAAGGGACGGCUAACUACGUG
RNAcentral lists this ribosomal RNA (495 nucleotides) under uncultured bacterium. RNAcentral's name for it is "partial 16S ribosomal RNA". It matches the Rfam family "Bacterial small subunit ribosomal RNA", at positions 28 to 507 of the family's 1533-position model. The record is from RNAcentral.